AAUCAACGCUGGCGGCGUGCCUAACACAUGCAAGUCGAACGAGAAAGUGUAGCAAUACAUGAGUAAAGUGGCGACCGGGUGAGUAACACGUGACUAACCUACCCUAGAGUGGGGAAUAACCUCGGGAAACCGGGGCUAAUACCGCAUAAAGUCCAGAGGCUGAAAUGCCAUUGGACCAAAGGAGUAAUUCGCUCAAGGAGGGGUCGCGGUUGAUUAGCUAGUUGGUGGGGUAAGUGGCCCACCAAGGCGAUGAUCAAUAGCCGGCCUGAGAGGGCGCACGGCCACACUGGAACUGAAACACGGUCCAGACUCCUACGGGAGGCAGCAGUGGGGAAUUGUUCGCAAUGGGCGCAAGCCUGACGGCGCAACGCCGCGUGGAGGAUGAAGAUUUUCGGAUCGUAAACUCCUGUCGAA
This 414-nucleotide ribosomal RNA is filed under the name uncultured bacterium. Its description in RNAcentral is "bacterial SSU rRNA". It matches the Rfam family "Bacterial small subunit ribosomal RNA", at positions 32 to 440 of the family's 1533-position model. The record is from RNAcentral.